Molecule: ribosomal RNA, 482 nt
Filed under: uncultured bacterium
Lineage: Bacteria
Description: bacterial SSU rRNA
Rfam family: Bacterial small subunit ribosomal RNA
Source: RNAcentral
AUUGAACGCUGGCGGCAUGCCUUACACAUGCAAGUCGAACGGUAACAGAUCUUCGGAUGCUGACGAGUGGCGAACGGGUGAGUAAUAUAUCGGAACGUGCCCAGUCGUGGGGGAUAACGCAGCGAAAGCUGUGCUAAUACCGCAUACGAUCUAUGGAUGAAAGCGGGGGAUCGCAAGACCUCGCGCGAUUGGAGCGGCCGAUAUCAGAUUAGGUAGUUGGUGGGGUAAAGGCCCACCAAGCCAACGAUCUGUAGCUGGUCUGAGAGGACGACCAGCCACACUGGAACUGAGACACGGUCCAGACUCCUACGGGAGGCAGCAGUGGGGAAUUUUGGACAAUGGGCGCAAGCCUGAUCCAGCAAUGCCGCGUGCAGGAUGAAGGCCUUCGGGUUGUAAACUGCUUUUGUACGGAACGAAAAGGCUCUGGUUAAUACCUGGGGCUCAUGACGGUACCGUAAGAAUAAGCACCGGCUAACUACGUG